GUUGCUUCAAUUUGGUCAAUAUACUUCUCUCAUGGUCAUCGUUGGCACUCUUGUCAAAGAGAAGCCUUCGGGCAAGUUUUUUUCUAUAGAAUUCAGCAAACAGAUCUUUGUCGCAGAUGUAUGCCAGCAACUUCACGACCUUCUCAAGUGUCUCCUCAAUUGCUUCAUCACUCAACUUCUCGCUCCCACCUUUCUUAAGGAUGUUAUCACAAAAGGUAGCAAGUAAUUCUGCACUAGAACUUCCAGCAACACCCUUAUUGCAAAAGACUUCAAAAGCUUCCUUGAGAGCCUUGUGAAAAAGUGUGUGGUUU
RNAcentral lists this unclassified non-coding RNA (311 nucleotides) under Hevea brasiliensis (rubber tree). Lineage: Eukaryota; Viridiplantae; Streptophyta; Magnoliopsida; Malpighiales; Euphorbiaceae. The record is from RNAcentral.